This 253-nucleotide ribosomal RNA is filed under the name uncultured bacterium. Its description in RNAcentral is "partial 16S ribosomal RNA". It matches the Rfam family "Bacterial small subunit ribosomal RNA", at positions 524 to 776 of the family's 1533-position model. The record is from RNAcentral.
UACGUAGGGUGCGAGCGUUGCCCGGAUUUAUUGGGCGUAAAGGGCGCGUAGGCGGUGAGAUGCGUCCGUUGUGAAAUCGCCCGGCUCAACUGGGCGGGGUCAGCGGAUACGGUCUCACUCGAGCAAGCUAGGGGGCAAUGGAAUUCCUGGUGUAGCGGUGAAAUGCGCAGAUAUCAGGAGGAACACCAAUGGCGAAGGCAGCACUCUGGGACGUGACUGACGCUGAGACGCGAAAGCGUGGGGAGCAAACAGG